AGAGAGAGAGAGAAAAGAGAUGUAGGAGAAAAGUCUGUUUCUUGUUUGUAUGUGCACAUUUGUCUUAUUUCCUUCACUCCCUUCUCAGUUAUGAGAUAUCUAUAAUAAUC
This 110-nucleotide non-coding RNA is filed under the name uncultured Mallomonas. The record is from RNAcentral. Lineage: Eukaryota; Synurophyceae; Synurales; Mallomonadaceae.